Molecule: long non-coding RNA, 1051 nt
Organism: Chlorocebus sabaeus (green monkey)
Lineage: Eukaryota; Metazoa; Chordata; Mammalia; Primates; Cercopithecidae
Source: RefSeq, a predicted model, not a curated record
AUCUCCGCUCACUGCAACCUCCGCCUCCCAGGUUCAAGCAAUUCUCCUGCCAGCCUCAGCCUCCCAAGUAGCUGGUGCCAGAAAUAAUCAGUUCCUCUUCAAACUUCUUUCUUUUAGCAACUAACGUCCUUUCACAUUGCUAGAAAAGAUAAAUUCUUGUUUUCUAAACAAGCCUUUCCAUCUUUGCCAUGCCUAAACAUGCCCAAACAUGCCUUAAUGGACAAUCCCUCUCUCCCCUCCUUUCUUUAUAAGUUACACAUUUAAAGGUUUCAGUUUACCCUAUUUGGAAAAGUUUUACCACUGCUACCCCUUCUUCCCUAUCUACCCUAUUUAGAAAAAUUUCAAGUUUUAGCCAAUUGGGUUAGCUUAAAUUGUGUGGUCUGACUCCAGCCAAUGGGAAAGGGACACAAACAGAAGCUGCGUUAGGGAUGAAAACCCUUCUCUUCUCCUUUGUUCAGUGUACUCUUGCGAUUGUGACUGGUGCAGGCAGCACCCUUCUGCAGAAGUAGAUUUGCCUUGCUGAGAAGUCUUUUGUUUGAGUGCUUGUUUUCUUUGUGACUCCAGGCUCUUAUUUCCAACUGUUUGGGGGCUCGUCUGGUAUCCCAUUCUCCUCCGGGGAAGGGUCUCUGAUCACCUCUCAUGAGGAGAUGCGUCCCACUGCCUCAUUGCGAUGGCCUCAGGAGUAAGGAAUCAAGAACCACUGGUGUGAGGAACAAACCUGAACUCUCAACAAUGAAGGAAGAAAAGGCCUACAAAUACCGCAGCGACCAGGAUUCAAGGCUUCCUAGCGCAAACAUCACCCCUCAAAUUCCCAGUCCACCAACAUCAACCCGGAGAUCAUGUCCUUGUCAAAAUCUGGAAAGAGGGAAAGCUCGAGCCCACCAUUGAAGAAGCUUACCUGGUGCUCCUAACAACUGAGACAGCAGUCUGAACUGCUGAAGAGGGGUGGAUCCAUUGUACCCAAGUCAGAAAGUCGCUGCCCUCUCUGAAGCCAUGGACCGUCGUCCCAGGGCCAACUCCCACCAGAGUAACAUUAAAGAGAAAAGCCUAA